GUGCCAGCAGCCGCGGUAAUACGUAGGGGGCAAGCGUUGUCCGGAGUUACUGGGCGUAAAGCGCACGCAGGCGGUCGCGUAAGAGUGCGGGGACAGUGGGCGGCUUAACUGCCCAAGGGUCGCACAGACUGCGUGACUGGAGGGCCAGAGAGGGACCUGGAAUUCCGGGUGGAGCGGUGAAAUGCGUAGAGAUCCGGAGGAACACCAAUGGCGAAGGCAGGGUCCUGGCUGGCACCUGACGCUCAUGUGCGAAAGCCAGGGGAGCGAACGGGAUUAGAUACCCCAGUAGUCC
Molecule: ribosomal RNA, 292 nt
Filed under: uncultured bacterium
Lineage: Bacteria
Description: partial 16S ribosomal RNA
Rfam family: Bacterial small subunit ribosomal RNA
Source: RNAcentral